This 252-nucleotide ribosomal RNA is filed under the name uncultured bacterium. Its description in RNAcentral is "partial 16S ribosomal RNA". It matches the Rfam family "Bacterial small subunit ribosomal RNA", at positions 524 to 776 of the family's 1533-position model. The record is from RNAcentral.
UACGUAGGGGGCAAGCGUUGUCCGGAUUUAUUGGGCGUAAAGAGCGUGUAGGCGGCUUGGUAGGUCUCGCGUCAAAACCUGAGGCUCAACCUCAGUUCGCGUGGGAAACCACCUAGCUAGAGUCCGGAAGAGGAGAACGGAAUUCCCAGUGUAGCGGUGAAAUGCGCAGAUAUUGGGAAGAACACCAGUGGCGAAGGCGGUUCUCUGGGACGGUACUGACGCUGAGACGCGAAAGCGUGGGUAGCAAACAGG